Molecule: ribosomal RNA, 397 nt
Filed under: uncultured bacterium
Lineage: Bacteria
Description: partial 16S ribosomal RNA
Rfam family: Bacterial small subunit ribosomal RNA
Source: RNAcentral
GUACGUAGGGGGCGAGCGUUGUCCGGAAUGAUUGGGCGUAAAGGGCGCGUAGGCGGCCUGUUAAGUCUGGAGUGAAAGUCCUGUUUUCAAGAUGGGAAUUGCUUUGGAUACUGAUGGGCUUGAGUGCAGGAGAGGUUAUCGGAAUUCCCGGUGUAGCGGUGAAAUGCGUAGAGAUCGGGAGGAACACCAGUGGCGAAGGUGACUUACUGGGCCGUAACUGACGCUGAGGCGCGAAAGCGUGGGGAGCGAACAGGAUUAGAUACCCUGGUAGUCCACGCGGUAAACGAUGAAUGCUAGGUGUUGCGGGUAUCGACCCCUGCAGCGCCGGAGUAAACACAAUAAGCAUUCCGCCUGGGGAGUACGGCCGCAAGGUUGAAACUCAAAGGAAUUGACGGGG